Molecule: long non-coding RNA, 1078 nt
Organism: Mustela lutreola (European mink)
Lineage: Eukaryota; Metazoa; Chordata; Mammalia; Carnivora; Mustelidae
Exons: 3
Source: RefSeq, a predicted model, not a curated record
CUGGGUGCUAUUUCCUGGUAAGAAAAAGAAGGAGAAAAUUUGAAGUAUGCUGGUGUCGCUAGUUCCAAUCCCACAAAGAGAGAUUUCUUAAGAAAACUAAGUGUGUGGUCACGAGAUGGAAUUUUAAGAACCCUAGUGGAAAUGUAUAAGGCAUUUUGAAUAUGAUGUAGAGCUUUUGAAAAAAAUAAUUAUUGGGGCCCCAAAGAGGUGCUUUAAUGAAGUAAGCUGAUGAUAGUGAAAGAAUUAAAAAAAAAAAAAAAUCACGAAAUCACUCUUCCUUGUCUGCUUUAUUUCUUAAAAGGGAAUUCUGAACCCUUCCUCCUCCUCAAAGAGAAACUGUAUCUCUGGUGAGAAAGAUUCCUAAUAUCUGUACAAUUUCAUUUUCCCAUUUCAGAGCCCAAGCUGCCCACGGGCCUGUGAAGAGUCCUCCACUGUUGCAGAGAGAAUUUCUAAGAUGAAAGAAGAUUUUUUUUUUCACGAUGAAGUCUCCAACAAUAAAAACCGGAGGCUCGCCUGCUUCACGAAGCCUGUGAAUUCUUUCUGAGCUAUCUUUGAGAACUUAUCCGAGGGAUCAAAAGCGUUUGAUAGUCUUCCAAAUGCUAAAAUCAGAGGAGGAAGCAUGAGCCGAAGUCAGUCAAAUUUGGAAUGACCUGAGUUUGCAACUGCUUCGUCUCCAGCCCUCACUUCUAGAAGUUGCUGGGACAGGUGUAUGUGAAUUCUUUGGCUAGAGAGAGAGAGCACAAGUAGAGAAGCAGGCAGAGAGAGUGGGAGAAGCAGGCUCUCUGCUGCAGAGAAUCUGAUGUGGAGCUGGAUCCCAGGACCCUGGGAUCGUGACCUGAGCCGAAGGCAGACACCCAACCGACUGAACCACCAAGGCAUCCCCAUUGUAACGAUUCUUCAAAAUACAUUUCCCAGAGCACAUAUGUACUUGCUCUGAACAAAUAAUAAAAUCAAAUAAGGGUUUAUUGAGGAAAGAGAAUUUAGGAGGCUAAUUAUACAUACCUUAUAUGUUUAUUGCUCAUUUUACAAAAGGACAUUAAAAAGUUUUUUAUUGUAAAAUAAAGCAUAAAGCCCAAUG